Molecule: unclassified non-coding RNA, 361 nt
Filed under: Hevea brasiliensis (rubber tree)
Lineage: Eukaryota; Viridiplantae; Streptophyta; Magnoliopsida; Malpighiales; Euphorbiaceae
Source: RNAcentral
UAGAAAACUACUUUGUUUUGUUUUGUGCAAACACAAAAAGAGAUAUAUGUUUCUUAUCUUUAAAUGAAAAUAACUUUCUAUGUCUGUCCUCCUGAACUUCUGAAAUUCAUCAAAGAAUAGCUUCUUGUCUCCUUCCUUUUCUUCUACCCUAAAUCUAUCCGAUAGAGUACAUCUUUUUACAUUUUGAUUUGUCAUAGAUUGAAUCCACCUUGGACCUCAUCUAAUGUUUGUUAAGUCCAUCAAGCAACACCUAUUUGAUUCUUAUAUCCAUUCUUUUCCCCGAGAUUACAUAUUCUUGAUCUCAGUGACUCAAAACCAACAAAGUUGAACAUACCAAACUUUUUUCUUUCCUAUCUUCUCC